This 251-nucleotide ribosomal RNA is filed under the name uncultured bacterium. Its description in RNAcentral is "partial 16S ribosomal RNA". It matches the Rfam family "Bacterial small subunit ribosomal RNA", at positions 108 to 353 of the family's 1533-position model. The record is from RNAcentral.
GAGUAACGCUGGGGAAUCUGCCUUUGAGCGGGGGACAACAUUUGGAAACGAAUGCUAAUACCGCAUAAAAACUUUAAACACAAGUUUUAAGUUUGAAAGAUGCAAUUGCAUCACUCAAAGAUGAUCCCGCGUUGUAUUAGCUAGUUGGUGAGGUAAAGGCUCACCAAGGCGAUGAUACAUAGCCGACCUGAGAGGGUGAUCGGCCACAUUGGGACUGAGACACGGCCCAAACUCCUACGGGAGGCAGCAUG